ACCACAGCCGCAAGGCUGUGCUGCAUAUGCAGAAGUCAGCAGAGGCCAUAGUAGCCGAGAGGUGAAGGG
Molecule: non-coding RNA, 69 nt
Filed under: Centipeda periodontii
Lineage: Bacteria; Bacillati; Bacillota; Negativicutes; Selenomonadales; Selenomonadaceae
Source: RNAcentral